Molecule: ribosomal RNA, 383 nt
Filed under: uncultured bacterium
Lineage: Bacteria
Description: bacterial SSU rRNA
Rfam family: Bacterial small subunit ribosomal RNA
Source: RNAcentral
AUUGAACGCUGGCGGCAUGCCUUACACAUGCAAGUCGAACGGCAGCACGGGAGCAAUCCUGGUGGCGAGUGGCGAACGGGUGAGUAAUAUAUCGGAACGUGCCCGGUCGUGGGGGAUAACGUAGCGAAAGCUACGCUAAUACCGCAUACGAUCUACGGAUGAAAGCGGGGGGAUCGCAAGACCUCGCGCGAUUGGAGCGGCCGAUAUCAGAUUAGGUAGUUGGUGAGGUAAAGGCUCACCAAGCCGACGAUCUGUAGCUGGUCUGAGAGGACGACCAGCCACACUGGGACUGAGACACGGCCCAGACUCCUACGGGAGGCAGCAGUGGGGAAUUUUGGACAAUGGGCGCAAGCCUGAUCCAGCAAUGCCGCGUGCAGGAUGAA